Molecule: ribosomal RNA, 393 nt
Filed under: Cryptosporidium parvum
Lineage: Eukaryota; Apicomplexa; Conoidasida; Eucoccidiorida; Cryptosporidiidae
Description: SSU rRNA
Rfam family: Eukaryotic small subunit ribosomal RNA
Source: RNAcentral
UUAAUAAUUUAUAUAAAAUAUUUUGAUGAAUAUUUAUAUAAUAUUAACAUAAUUCAUAUUACUAUAUAUUUUAGUAUAUGAAAUUUUACUUUGAGAAAAUUAGAGUGCUUAAAGCAGGCAUAUGCCUUGAAUACUCCAGCAUGGAAUAAUAUUAAAGAUUUUUAUCUUUCUUAUUGGUUCUAAGGUAAGAAUAAUGAUUAAUAGGGACAGUUGGGGGCAUUUGUAUUUAACAGUCAGAGGUGAAAUUCUUAGAUUUGUUAAAGACAAACUAAUGCGAAAGCAUUUGCCAAGGAUGUUUUCAUUAAUCAAGAACGAAAGUUAGGGGAUCGAAGACGAUCAGAUACCGUCGUAGUCUUAACCAUAAACUAUGCCAACUAGAGAUUGGAGGUUGUU